GAGGGGCCCGCGUCGGAUUAGCUAGUUGGCGGGGUAAUGGCCCACCAAGGCUACGAUCCGUAGCUGGUCUGAGAGGAUGAUCAGCCACACUGGGACUGAGAUACGGCCCAGACUCCUACGGGAGGCAGCAGUGGGGAAUAUUGGACAAUGGGGGAAACCCUGAUCUAGCAAUGCCGCGUGAGUGAAGAAGGCCUUAGGGUUGUAAAGCUCUUUCGGCGGGGACGAUGGUGACGGUACCCGCAGAAGAAGCCCCGGCUAACUUCGUGCCAGCAGCCGCGGUAAUACGAAGGGGGCUAGCGUUGUUCGGAAUCACUGGGCGUAAAGGGCGCGUAGGCGGCGCGACAAGUCAGGCGUGAAAGCCCCGGGCUCAACCCGGGAAUUGCGCUUGAUACUGUCGUGCUUGAGGCCGGGAGAGGAUGGCGGAAUUCCCAGUGUAGAGGUGAAAUUCGUAGAUAUUGGGAAG
Molecule: ribosomal RNA, 463 nt
Filed under: uncultured Pseudomonadota bacterium
Lineage: Bacteria; Pseudomonadati; Pseudomonadota
Description: bacterial SSU rRNA
Rfam family: Bacterial small subunit ribosomal RNA
Source: RNAcentral